Molecule: long non-coding RNA, 3679 nt
Filed under: Capra hircus (goat)
Lineage: Eukaryota; Metazoa; Chordata; Mammalia; Artiodactyla; Bovidae
Description: lncRNA (ENSCHIG00010031655.1)
Source: RNAcentral
GAGGAGUACUGAACCCUACCCAGCCCCACCACACUGGUGGGAACCGGAUCACCCCUUUGGAAUUAGGCAGUGUUGCGGGUAGGGGGCGGCCACCCCCUGCGCAUCUGUGGGUUGAGGGUGUUGCCAGCAAGGGGGUGCUGCUGGGGGCAGCAGGGUGAUGGGGUCUCAGGGCCAGCACACCAGCCAUCACCUGCCCCCACGGUCACCCCACAAAGGGGCCCCAGCUAGAAAGGAGGCACCUCAAAACCUGACCCUCUGGGGAGGCAGGGGUUAAUGCCCUUGGACAGGUGUGGGGACUGGGCAGGGCUGAGGCAGCCCUUUCAGAGCAGUUUGGCAAGAUGGGGAGGACCCCCCCACACACACCAUGAAAAAAGCAGCCCACUUCCCACCCAGAGCCCAAGGCACGUGGGGAAUGUUCCCCCUUCAAAUUCCAGUCCACAUCAAUCACCCCGUGUCCAUUCCAAGAACAUCUGGCCUGUCCCCCCCCAUCACUGCCCCGCUCCCUCCCCACCAGCCCUCUGCAGUCCCCAGGCCCUGGCGGUCAGGCCUGUGCCUAUAGAAGGGAGGGCAAGGAGGGGGCCUCCCAGGGAAGCCUGGGAGGGUGGCUCCCCCGUAUGUGGCAGUUGUCAUUUGGGGAUGAGGAGUGUUUUCAGUGCCUGUCUGCAGACCUCAGAUCCCUGGGACCCCAGAGCGGAUUUCAAGUCCUGGGUGAGGGUCUCCACUUCCCUCGCCCUGCUCCCGGCUCCCCACCUCUCCUCCAGGCCUGCUUCCCAGGCUGGGGACGGCAAGGGGGCCGGGGUAAGGCCUGUGCCAGUCGGCUUUCUGGGCAUCUUCCUGCUGGUGGGGGGGGCCCUUUGGGGACCCUUCCCUGCCUUCAGACCUGAACAGGCGCCAGCCCUGGAGAAGCUGUGGCCCAGUGCUGGGAGACAUGUGCCUGGACCUUGGAGCCCCCACAGGGUGCCCGGGUGCUGCCCGGGUGAAGACCCUGCCCUGGAUGUCAGAGGGAUGCGCCUGCUCCCAGCAGCAAGGCUGGAAGCCCGGGGACCCAGGCCCCAGCCAGACAGAAGGCCAGGACCCGACCGCAGCACCAGUCACCCAACGCCCCAGGCACCGCCAGCCCCUGACCAGUGGACCAACGUCGGCUGUAGGAGUGUGGGGCACCCGGCCCCCAAGCUGCAAGGACCCAGGCGUGACUGCUGUUGUACCAAUUUAUGUAGCGUCUGAACUAAGGACACCUUUGAAAAACAUUCUCGGUUUCUCUCUCUCUUUCUUUCCGGUGGGCAAAUCGGCCUGCAAGGGAGCACCUGCUGGGUCCCCCACAGCAAGCCCUGAAGAGUGACCUCUGUGGCUUUGGGGUCAGGACCGGGAACACAGCCCCCGCUCCUCCGCUUCCAGAGACCCUGGAUCGAGCCCGCUUUGGGGCAGCUCAGCCUGUUGCCCCCACCCCGGCUCCAUCCAGCGGUGUCAGAGGAGGCUCUGGCCGCCCCCCAGCCUUUCCACUGUCCCGCUCCGUUCCCCCAGCCGGCAGCCUCUGUCAUUACCUCGCACAGUAACCAACCGCCCUGUGACUGUCCCCCUACUUUGACACAUGGGGACACAGAGAGGUCAAACCACCCGUGUGAGGCCCCACAGCAGCAGCCCAGGGCAGGGAGGGCCGGGUCUGGCAUGUCCAGCUGAGCCCAGCUUCCCGGGGCCUCCCAGGAUUCCCCCUCAACUUGCUGGAGAUCUCUGCACGCUCCUUCCUCCAGCUCUGCCCUCACCCGUCACCCUUGACUCUCCCCUCGGCUGCCCACUCCCCCUUCCUCUGCCCUACCAGGAGCACGCCUCUGAGGACCACUCUGCCCAGGCAGCAGGGGGCCUGCCCUGCCUGCAGCUGAGCCCCCAGGAGCUGACCACUGGAACCCAGAUUCCUGCUGUGUCACCCUGAUAUGACCCUAGCCCCCUGGAGGCCCCACUCCUUGGGAAAGGGGUGAUGGCCACAGGAGCUGCCCGAGGGGGCUCUGAGCCCCGGAGGAUGGCAGGCCCCUGUCCAGAGCCUGUGGCGCUGACUGGGCACGCGGUCCUGCCUGGGAGCGUCCAGAGCACUCACCUCUGCGGGCUGGGGCCGCGGGCCUCAGUUCUGAGCAGGUGGGGAUUGAGGGCCACGGGUCACAGCAGCUGACUUCCCGGGCUGGGGUUUCUGGCCUGCUGCGGGCUCUGGCUGGGGGGCAGCCUGGGCAAAGGGCUGACCUGGCCUGGGUGUGGGGCCCUGGGGCUGGGAGCCGAAGGCCGCCUCCUCGUCCUCAAGGUGAACAGUGACUCUUCGUCCCCUGGGGGAGAGAGGGUUGUUCUUAAGAUGGUGUCUUUUAAAACAAAUCCACACGUGCACACACACAGCCAGGGCCCUGGCCCCUGCCCCUCCACUGGCUGUCAGGUGGAGAGGCCCUCGGGUCACCUUGUCAGGGUUUGGGUGACGGCUCCCCUGCCUGUCCCUCCGGCCGCCCAGCUCUGCCUUUUCUGAAGAAGGGAGGAAGAGAAGUGUCCACAGUUCCCCAGAGCUGGACUUCCCCAUGGGCAGGCCUGCAGAGGUGCCCACGGACCCAUCCAUGGGACAGGCUGCCCCGCCCUGUGGCGGACUUCUGCCUGAGCUUGGGGCCUAGUGGCUGCACACAGAGCCUGCCUCCUCUGCCCCAGCACAUCCCCACCUUGAACGGAAGCAAGGAGGGAGCCAGGCACCCACAGCUCUGCCAUGGGGAGGCAGCUGAGGGUGGUGGGAGACUGCUUCUCUGGGGAAGUGAACCCCUUCCCCACAAAUGCCACACGGGGAGUCUGGGUGGAGGGGAGGCACACUCCAUGCACAAAACAAGAAUGACCCAGGGCAGGGGAGGCUGGAGGGGUGGCCCAGGGCAAUCGGCACACUGUCAGGAACGUUCCUCUUUAGAUCCCGCUCUGGGGCCUCAAGGGGCAGCGCCCCUUCAUCGUCCUUCUCACCAUCCUUUCCAAUUACAUGGUGGGAUUCGCUGGGGGAAGGGGUGGUGUAGGGAGUGAGGACAGAGGGAAGCUUUACUUUUUACGUGGUAUGAAAAUAACUCCCCAACCCCCGGGCCUCAGCGCCCCUGCAGUGUCCUGCUUGUCUCUGGUUGGGAUCCGGUAAGGCGGGUCGCAGCCAGAGGGAACCUCUCACACAGGAAAAUUCUUUUACUUUUCCAACAGCAGCUGUGCCCUCAAGCUGAAGACAGUGGCCUUAUGCUCCAGCCCACCCCUCCCAUUUUGCCAGCUCAGAGAAGGAAAGUGUAUUUUCCAUGCAAAAGGCCCUGUGGCUCUGGGCAGCUGCCCUGAAGGGCUCCCUCCCCACCUGUCCUGUCUGCUCCAAAGUGGAAGCUCAUAGAGUCCUCUGGCAGCGCAGGCCCUCCCGCUCCUGUUAACUGCCCCCAGCCCCCUACCCCUGAGCACUCAGAAGGCAGCCUUCUUACCACCUAGAGGGCAACGUGCGGGGAAGGGACGCCCAGGCGCCUGCGCUCUAAUUGCUGCGUUGUUGCUGAAGCUCCCUGGGGUGGUGGAUAAAGAGGACCGGGAUGUCGCUGGUGCCCCAGGCUCUCUGCGGGAACUGCCGGCGCGCUGGCUGGGCCAACAGUAGCAGUUGCUGCCAAGGCAGGGGGUGCUCAGACCCUCCAGCAGGCUUGACUGGGAGGCAGAGGAG